This 64-nucleotide transfer RNA is filed under the name Enterococcus faecium. RNAcentral describes it as "tRNA-Ala". It matches the Rfam family "tRNA", at positions 5 to 66 of the family's 71-position model. From Rfam's summary of the family: Transfer RNA (tRNA) molecules are approximately 80 nucleotides in length. RNAcentral also lists the same sequence under 1 other name. The record is from RNAcentral. Lineage: Bacteria; Bacillati; Bacillota; Bacilli; Lactobacillales; Enterococcaceae.
CCUUAGCUCAGCUGGGAGAGCGCCUGCUUUGCACGCAGGAGGUCAGCGGUUCGAUCCCGCUAGG